Molecule: transfer RNA, 71 nt
Filed under: Marmota monax (woodchuck)
Lineage: Eukaryota; Metazoa; Chordata; Mammalia; Rodentia; Sciuridae
Description: tRNA.Ala
Source: RNAcentral
GGGGAUGUGGCUCAAGGGGUAGCGCGCUCGCCUGGCAUGUGUGCGUCCUGGGUUCGAUCCUCAGCACCACA